UGCUAUUCUAAAACUAUUAGGUGUCCAAGAAGAGAAUGAUCAUACAAUCUAUGCACAAGUUCAGCCAAAGAAUAAAGUACAAAGACCCCUGGAGAUGUUGGUGAAAACAGCGAAUCCUCAAACUGUCUAUGAGUUUACAGAAGAAAUGCCUGAUCCUGAGAUAUCAGCACAGAUGCAAACAAACAAUCCUGUCUGCACCACCUACAGCACAAUAGGACAACACCAAAAACCAUCAUUUGCCACUGAAGACCACACAGUUUAUUCAGAAGUGUGUAAAUCCCCACGUGGCAGACCACAUGUGCAUUAAAGAGGUCAUGAACUGAGAAAUCAAAUUUUCCUUAAACAUUUGAUAUAUAAAAGUUUUUAUAAUAUAUUUUAGAAUAUCAUUAUAAGUAUAUUCUGUAAGUUUCAGAACUGAAAACUUCCUUGGUAGUUCAAAAACAUAUGUUACCAAGCCCAGUGAACAACUCCUGGAAUGUGCCUUUUUAUGACAUUAUAAAUAGGUGAAAGACCACCUCUGUAGAAGAAAUCAACACCUACUUCACUGCAAGUUUGGCCCUGCCCACUGGUAUAAGUGAGAUGAGGAAGAGAGAAGAGCACAGGAUCACUCACUGGACUAUAAAUAACACCUUCCAAAGGAUUCUAAUGCUAGGUGUUCAUUUUAUGUAUUUUCAAUUUCAGCAAUGCGAAUGUCUCAGUUGAGCAUUAUUUAUUUUGUAUGUGGUACAUUUCACUGUGGAUUCUUUGGUAAAUCAGUCGCAAUUUUGGAGCAAGCUUUGCAAACAGACAUUUACAAUAUGGACUCGACAGUAAUGCGACAACAUGAUAACCGUGUUCAUUUUGAUGACUGAUCUGUGACCAGUGAUUUCUUAUUUCUGAUGAAGUUGACUUAACAGUCAACUUCACAUUGUUUCUCUUAGUAGAAUGAAAAUAAUCAGUUAUUUAAACUGUUAUUUAAACUUAAAUUAUUAAUAGAAAGUGAUCAAAGAGCACUCCCUUUGCAAUCGCUAGAGCUGUUAAUCAAACAGCGCACACUGGAGCUGUUAAUCAAACGCGAUGAGUGCGAGCACGAGUUUAUCAGUGACUAAGUUCUCUGGACUCAUACCAAAACUCUUGUAAUAAUCAACGAUUCUCUUAUUUACAGUGUGUUUGCACUGUUAGUCAUGAAAACAUUGGUUAGUGUGCAGAAAUCAAGUUACAAUGUCGAGAUCACUGCAUUCAUGUGCUCAACAUGUCUGUGAUCUGCUACAUGCUCAUCACUGCAACAUUUCAUGCCACAAUCUCAAUAUAAUGCCAUAGAUCUAAAUAUAAUAAUCACUUUUCAAGAUUAGUUAAGCUUAAGCUGUAAUAGUAAAAACAUGCUCAAGAAAGUUAAACAUGUAAUACUUAGCUAUUUCAAAUGCAAAGAUGUUAGCCAACCACAGCAGUGGGUGUUUACA
Long non-coding RNA from Megalobrama amblycephala (Wuchang bream), 1439 nucleotides. RefSeq lists it as uncharacterized. The record is from RefSeq and is a predicted model, not a curated record. NCBI's taxonomy places the organism in Eukaryota, Metazoa, Chordata, Actinopteri, Cypriniformes, Xenocyprididae. The transcript has 3 exons.